RNAcentral lists this transfer RNA (91 nucleotides) under Metarhizium rileyi. RNAcentral describes it as "tRNA-Gln". It matches the Rfam family "tRNA". From Rfam's summary of the family: Transfer RNA (tRNA) molecules are approximately 80 nucleotides in length. Lineage: Eukaryota; Fungi; Ascomycota; Sordariomycetes; Hypocreales; Clavicipitaceae. The record is from RNAcentral.
GGUUCCAUCGUCUAGCGGUUAGGACACGGGUUUUUGACUCAAACAAAGAGACUCAACGCCCGAGGCCGGGGUUCGAUUCCCCGUGGAACCU